RNAcentral lists this ribosomal RNA (1868 nucleotides) under Shigella flexneri. Its description in RNAcentral is "partial 23S ribosomal RNA". It matches the Rfam family "Bacterial large subunit ribosomal RNA", at positions 1054 to 2901 of the family's 2925-position model. Lineage: Bacteria; Pseudomonadati; Pseudomonadota; Gammaproteobacteria; Enterobacterales; Enterobacteriaceae. RNAcentral also lists the same sequence under 1 other name. The record is from RNAcentral.
CAUGGUUAAGUGGGAAACGAUGUGGGAAGGCCCAGACAGCCAGGAUGUUGGCUUAGAAGCAGCCAUCAUUUAAAGAAAGCGUAAUAGCUCACUGGUCGAGUCGGCCUGCGCGGAAGAUGUAACGGGGCUAAACCAUGCACCGAAGCUGCGGCAGCGACGCUUAUGCGUUGUUGGGUAGGGGAGCGUUCUGUAAGCCUGUGAAGGUGUGCUGUGAGGUAUGCUGGAGGUAUCAGAAGUGCGAAUGCUGACAUAAGUAACGAUAAAGCGGGUGAAAAGCCCGCUCGCCGGAAGACCAAGGGUUCCUGUCCAACGUUAAUCGGGGCAGGGUGAGUCGACCCCUAAGGCGAGGCCGAAAGGCGUAGUCGAUGGGAAACAGGUUAAUAUUCCUGUACUUGGUGUUACUGCGAAGGGGGGACGGAGAAGGCUAUGUUGGCCGGGCGACGGUUGUCCCGGUUUAAGCGUGUAGGCUGGUUUUCCAGGCAAAUCCGGAAAAUCAAGGCCGAGGCGUGAUGACGAGGCACUACGGUGCUGAAGCAACAAAUGCCCUGCUUCCAGGAAAAGCCUCUAAGCAUCAGGUAACAUCAAAUCGUACCCCAAACCGACACAGGUGGUCAGGUAGAGAAUACCAAGGCGCUUGAGAGAACUCGGGUGAAGGAACUAGGCAAAAUGGUGCCGUAACUUCGGGAGAAGGCACGCUGAUACGUAGGUGAAGCGACUUGCUCGUGGAGCUGAAAUCAGUCGAAGAUACCAGCUGGCUGCAACUGUUUAUUAAAAACACAGCACUGUGCAAACACGAAAGUGGACGUAUACGGUGUGACGCCUGCCCGGUGCCGGAAGGUUAAUUGAUGGGGUUAGCGCAAGCGAAGCUCUUGAUCGAAGCCCCGGUAAACGGCGGCCGUAACUAUAACGGUCCUAAGGUAGCGAAAUUCCUUGUCGGGUAAGUUCCGACCUGCACGAAUGGCGUAAUGAUGGCCAGGCUGUCUCCACCCGAGACUCAGUGAAAUUGAACUCGCUGUGAAGAUGCAGUGUACCCGCGGCAAGACGGAAAGACCCCGUGAACCUUUACUAUAGCUUGACACUGAACAUUGAGCCUUGAUGUGUAGGAUAGGUGGGAGGCUUUGAAGUGUGGACGCCAGUCUGCAUGGAGCCGACCUUGAAAUACCACCCUUUAAUGUUUGAUGUUCUAACGUGGACCCGUGAUCCGGGUUGCGGACAGUGUCUGGUGGGUAGUUUGACUGGGGCGGUCUCCUCCUAAAGAGUAACGGAGGAGCACGAAGGUUGGCUAAUCCUGGUCGGACAUCAGGAGGUUAGUGCAAUGGCAUAAGCCAGCUUGACUGCGAGCGUGACGGCGCGAGCAGGUGCGAAAGCAGGUCAUAGUGAUCCGGUGGUUCUGAAUGGAAGGGCCAUCGCUCAACGGAUAAAAGGUACUCCGGGGAUAACAGGCUGAUACCGCCCAAGAGUUCAUAUCGACGGCGGUGUUUGGCACCUCGAUGUCGGCUCAUCACAUCCUGGGGCUGAAGUAGGUCCCAAGGGUAUGGCUGUUCGCCAUUUAAAGUGGUACGCGAGCUGGGUUUAGAACGUCGUGAGACAGUUCGGUCCCUAUCUGCCGUGGGCGCUGGAGAACUGAGGGGGGCUGCUCCUAGUACGAGAGGACCGGAGUGGACGCAUCACUGGUGUUCGGGUUGUCAUGCCAAUGGCACUGCCCGGUAGCUAAAUGCGGAAGAGAUAAGUGCUGAAAGCAUCUAAGCACGAAACUUGCCCCGAGAUGAGUUCUCCCUGACCCUUUAAGGGUCCUGAAGGAACGUUGAAGACGACGACGUUGAUAGGCCGGGUGUGUAAGCGCAGCGAUGCGUUGAGCUAACCGGUAC